UACGUAGGGGGCAAGCGUUAUCCGGAUUUACUGGGUGUAAAGGGAGCGUAGACGGCAUGGCAAGCCAGAUGUGAAAUACCGGGGCUCAACCCCGGGACUGCAUUUGGAACUGUUAAGCUGGAGUGUCGGAGAGGCAGGCGGAAUUCCUAGUGUAGCGGUGAAAUGCGUAGAUAUUAGGAGGAACACCAGUGGCGAAGGCGGCUUACUGGACUGUAACUGACGUUGAGGCUCGAAAGCGUGGGGAGCAAGCAGG
RNAcentral lists this ribosomal RNA (253 nucleotides) under uncultured bacterium. RNAcentral describes it as "partial 16S ribosomal RNA". It matches the Rfam family "Bacterial small subunit ribosomal RNA", at positions 524 to 776 of the family's 1533-position model. The record is from RNAcentral.